UACGGGAGGCAGCAGUAGGGAAUAUUGGGCAAUGGGCGAAAGCCUGACCCAGCAACGCCGCGUGAGUGAAGAAGGUCUUCGGAUCGUAAAGCUCUGUCGAAGGGGACGAACGUGGGUUCUAUCAACAACGGAACCUAAUGACGGUACCUUUCAAGAAAGCCACGGCUAACUACGUGCCAGCAGCCGCGGUAAU
RNAcentral lists this ribosomal RNA (193 nucleotides) under uncultured rumen bacterium. RNAcentral's name for it is "partial 16S ribosomal RNA". It matches the Rfam family "Bacterial small subunit ribosomal RNA", at positions 340 to 524 of the family's 1533-position model. The record is from RNAcentral.